GACGAACGCUGGCGGCGGGCUUAACACAUGCAAGUCGAACGGAAAGGCCCUGCUUUUGUGGGGUGCUCGAGUGGCGAACGGGUGAGUAACACGUGAGUAACCUGCCCUUGACUGUGGGAUAACUUCAGGAAACUGGGGCUAAUACCGGAUAGGAGCUCCUGCUGCAUGGGGGGGGUUGGAAAGUUUCGGCGGUUGGGGAUGGACUCGCGGCUUAUCAGCUUGUUGGUGGGGUAGUGGCUUACCAAGGCUUUGACGGGUAGCCGGCCUGAGAGGGUGACCGGCCACAUUGGGACUGAGAUACGGCGCAGACUCGUACGGGAGGCAGCAGUGGGGAAUAUUGCACAAUGGGCGGAAGUCUGAUGCAGCAACGCCGCGUGCGGGAUGACGGCCUUCGGGUUGUAAACCGCUUUCGCCUGUGACGAAGCGUGAGUGACGGUAAUGGGUAAAGAAGCACCGGCUAACUACGUG
RNAcentral lists this ribosomal RNA (468 nucleotides) under uncultured bacterium. Its description in RNAcentral is "partial 16S ribosomal RNA". It matches the Rfam family "Bacterial small subunit ribosomal RNA", at positions 28 to 507 of the family's 1533-position model. The record is from RNAcentral.